Molecule: ribosomal RNA, 502 nt
Filed under: uncultured bacterium
Lineage: Bacteria
Description: partial 16S ribosomal RNA
Rfam family: Bacterial small subunit ribosomal RNA
Source: RNAcentral
GACGAACGCUGGCGGCGUGCCUAAUACAUGCAAGUCGAACGAACCGCGACUAGGUGCUUGCACUUGGUCAAGGUGAGUGGCGAACGGGUGAGUAACACGUGGGUAACCUACCUCAUAGUGGGGGAUAACAGUCGGAAACGACUGCUAAUACCGCAUAGGACAUAGGAUCACAUGAUCCAGUGAGGAAAGGUGGCGCAAGCUAUCGCUAAGAGAUGGACCCGCGGUGCAUUAGCUAGUUGGUAGGGUAAAGGCCUACCAAGGCGAUGAUGCAUAGCCGACCAGAGAGGGUGAUCGGCCACAUUGGGACUGAGACACGGCCCAAACUCCUACGGGAGGCAGCAGUGGGGAAUCUUCCGCAAUGGACGCAAGUCUGACGGAGCAACGCCGCGUGAGUGAAGAAGGUCUUCGGAUCGUAAAGCUCUGUUGUUAGAGAAGAACAGCGCAUAGAGUAACUGUUAUGCGUGUGACGGUAUCUAACCAGAAAGCCACGGCUAACUACGUG